GAUGAACGCUGGCGGCGUGCUUAACACAUGCAAGUCGAACGUGAAGAAGCAGCAAUGUUUCUGAAAGUGGCGGACGGGUGAGUAACACGUGGGUGACCUGCCUUGCAGAGGGGGAUAACGAGGGGAAACCUUCGCUAAUACCGCAUAGGCUUACACCGAUGGGAAUGGUGUGGGUAAACUGAGGUGCUGCAAGAGGGGCCUGCGUCCGAUUAGCUAGUUGGUGAGGUAAUGGCUCACCAAGGCGAUGAUCGGUAGCUGGUCUGAGAGGACGAUCAGCCACACGGGAACUGAGAAACGGUCCCGACUCCUACGGGGGGCAGCAGUGAGGAAUAUUGGGCAAUGGACGAAAGUCUGACCCAGCAACGCCGCGUGGAGGAUGAAGGUUUUUGGAUUGUAAACUCCUUUUGUGGGGAAGAGUGAGGACGGUACCCCAAGAAUAAGUCACGGCUAACUACGUG
RNAcentral lists this ribosomal RNA (458 nucleotides) under uncultured bacterium. RNAcentral describes it as "bacterial SSU rRNA". It matches the Rfam family "Bacterial small subunit ribosomal RNA", at positions 28 to 507 of the family's 1533-position model. The record is from RNAcentral.